Humulus lupulus (European hop) is the source of this 403-nucleotide long non-coding RNA. RefSeq lists it as uncharacterized. The transcript is spliced from 3 exons. The record is from RefSeq and is a predicted model, not a curated record. NCBI's taxonomy places the organism in Eukaryota, Viridiplantae, Streptophyta, Magnoliopsida, Rosales, Cannabaceae.
UCUUAUUGGCCUUCCGAUUUUUCAUUCAUUUGGAUAGAUACAGUGUUCUGUUUUUUUUUUUUUUAAAUGAAAUUAACCUGCAUCUUCUUGUGUGCUUCAAAGGUAUUGCUAACCACACCCACUACUCCUAAUGAUCGAAUGAAAGCCAUUGUUCAAGCUGCUGAAGGAUUUGUCUAUCUGGAUUAAUUGUUGAUUGCAAUUUGAGCAAGAGCUUGGUUUUGCAGGAUUUUCUAUAACGAAAGACUUUGGAUUUUGAUUGAUUUAUUGAGUGUCCUAUAGAAUGUCGAUCGACAAGACUUGGAUUAAUAAUUCAAAUAAAUUUUCUGAUGAGUAUGUUGCUGGAGCGUUUGCAUUUGUUGAGAGAGCUCAACAAUUUGUGGAUACAAGGGGACUAGUGAAGUGU